This 1083-nucleotide long non-coding RNA is filed under the name Apteryx rowi (Okarito brown kiwi). RNAcentral describes it as "lncRNA (ENSARWG00000012360.1)". Lineage: Eukaryota; Metazoa; Chordata; Aves; Apterygiformes; Apterygidae. The record is from RNAcentral.
AUGCGAUGCCGCAUCCGACCACGGCUUCUCGCUCCGCGCGGCGGGGGGAAAGCCGGGAGCAAAGCACCUUUGCGGAAAGCCGCGGGAACGGAUCCAGGCUUUGUCUGCCGUGGGGGGAAAAAAAAGCAGGGGAGCAUCCGGGCAGGUUUGGUGUCGUUUGGCAGCGGCGGCGGUGGGAACCGGAGCAGCCCGCGGCUCCGUAACCCUUCCCGAGAGAUUCCUGAGCAAACCCAGCCGCCGCCGGCAGUCCAGACGGAUGGACGGAUGGAUGGAUGGAGACGCGGGCUGGCGAGCAGGACGGGGCGGCAGCCGGGUGCGGGACAAAAAGGAGAAGCGUGGAAGGGGCUGGCAGCAGCCGGGGAGCGGGCCGGGAUAUUCUCCCACGCCAGGCGCUUCCCUCCUGCACGCAAAGCGCAUCCCAGCUCAGGCCUUUGGGACAACAUUGGGAUCGAAUUAACAUGCAUUCCCUUAAAAGAGCCAGGUCGAGGAUUAAAAGACCCAACUCUUAGAGAAUUAGGAUUUUGUUGUUUUUUUUUCCCAUCCUCCUUAAACCUGGCGGCAGCUUUCCCAGCAUCCGCUCACGCGGCUCAGUCCGGGCCUGAUGUUAAAAUCACGGCGUCCGCGAAGGCUAAAGCGGGCAGAGAUGGCGAUUUCCAGACCCUGCCUGCGCCGCGCUCCUGGUUCCUGGCAGCCCAAAGCCCUGCCAAGCUUGUCGCAGUGAUUUCAGGGAGCGGGUCAGGGUCGCAUCCCGGGAUGCAAAGCGAUCCCGGCUCCGCUCCGUCGCCGAUGCCCGGCCCGGCCGCGCUGGCGCGAGAAACCCGACCGAGCAGCCGGCGAGAGAAGGGAGCUUCUCCGUUUCCCUUGGGCCCUUUUUCCUUUCCGCUGAACCACCUCAAAGUCCAGCCGGUUUCCCAAACCGCUCCCGCGUAUCGGUCAGGGCCUGAAAACCUUCCCACGGAAUCGCAAGGUUGUUAUUUCAAUUGCACUCCUAAAUACAAAUCAGCGAUUUAUUCCUAUUUUACUAAUUUAAAGCUUUUCUCUCUCGCAGAGCGGGAACGAGUCGCACGUGACGUGAGAUUUUGA